AGUGAACGCUGGCGGUAGGCCUAACACAUGCAAGUCGAACGGCAGCACAGGAGAGCUUGCUCUCUGGGUGGCGAGUGGCGGACGGGUGAGGAAUACAUCGGAAUCUACUCUGUCGUGGGGGAUAACGUAGGGAAACUUACGCUAAUACCGCAUACGACCUACGGGUGAAAGCAGGGGACCUUCGGGCCUUGCGCGAUUGAAUGAGCCGAUGUCGGAUUAGCUAGUUGGCGGGGUAAAGGCCCACCAAGGCGACGAUCCGUAGCUGGUCUGAGAGGAUGAUCAACCACACUGAAACUGAGACACGGUCCAGACUCCUACGGGAGGCAGCAGUGGGGAAUAUUGGACAAUGGGCGCAAGCCUGAUCCAGCCAUACCGCGUGGGUGAAGAAGGCCUUCGGGUUGUAAAGCCCUUUUGUAGGGAAAGAAAUCCAGCUGGCUAAUACCCGGUUGGGAUGACGGUACCCAAAGAAUAAGCACCGGCUAACUUCGUGCCAGCCGCCGCAGUAA
This 506-nucleotide ribosomal RNA is filed under the name uncultured bacterium. Its description in RNAcentral is "partial 16S ribosomal RNA". It matches the Rfam family "Bacterial small subunit ribosomal RNA", at positions 29 to 523 of the family's 1533-position model. The record is from RNAcentral.